UAAUUGAAGAGUUUGAUCAUGGCUCAGAUUGAACGCUGGCGGCAGGCCUAACACAUGCAAGUCGAGCGGUAACAGGAGAAAGCUU
This 85-nucleotide ribosomal RNA is filed under the name Proteus mirabilis. RNAcentral's name for it is "partial 16S ribosomal RNA". It matches the Rfam family "Bacterial small subunit ribosomal RNA", at positions 1 to 85 of the family's 1533-position model. Lineage: Bacteria; Pseudomonadati; Pseudomonadota; Gammaproteobacteria; Enterobacterales; Morganellaceae. The record is from RNAcentral.